GGAUGAAGUUUUUUACUCCAAAGAGAGAGAAAACAUGAUUCUGCGUUAUCGUUCGCGAAUGUCUUGCUCCGUUAAACCUCUCUCACGAUUAUGCAUCUCGAUCACGAUCCCCUUCUAACCAUCUAGGUUAGUUCAGAUUUAUUAGCAGGAGCUGUCAGAGAUGGUCGACCAGAUUUCGAGCUUCAAUUCGUUGUAAGAUUUUGAUUAUGUUGACAAAAUAUCACAACUUUUUCCAGCAAUUUUUAGAGCUGAAGAGAAAUUCCAAGCAAAGAGAAGAUAACGGACUGUAAAAAUAUCGAGACAGAGGGACAUAACUUGAAGAUGAUGAAAAUUCUGAUUAUGAACUGAAUUAGGUCAUUCUUUUAAGUUGUUACUUCUCCUGGUGCCGUUGAUCUUAGGCCAGAAAAUGCAAUGAAGAUAUCGAUUGAGAUCAACAAGUAUUUGGAGGUAUGCCUGUGCUUGAGUCACUGAAUUAAUGGGGAAAUUGUAUCAGAUUUGUGGUAUUCCAGUCAUAAGCGUUAAGGAGAUGCUGAAUCAUACAAGCAUUUUGUGUUAAUCGAAGUGCGUGUUCUCUCAGUACCCGACAGCCCACAGUUCAAGUUGGAGCAUGUGCUUUCAAUACCCGCAUAUGUGGCAUUUGCUAAUCUGUGUAGUGAUAGACAACAACAAAUUUCUUACAGAGAAAAGGCAGUCAGUGUGGAAGCUAGAACGAAAUCAUCAAUUCAUGUAGGCACGGACAUGAUUAAACAAAGGGUUUCUUCGGUAACUGAGAGUUAAGUAAUUUUAGCUGUUUGACUGACAUCUCUCUCGGGUUUGGAGGUUAUAUAUAUAUAUAUUGUGAUGACUACUAAAUUAGGGAACACUGAAAUUUUAUGAAGGGGUAACUUACUCUUGCUGGAUUUUUUAUUAAGCUGGGGCGUUUUUGGUUUUAUGCAUUUUUUUUUGGAGGAUAGUCAAUUUUAAUAACUUCAUUGAUUAAUUUUUAAGUUCUGGAUAUUUCAAUUCAAUAUAUAAUAUUAUGUUAUGAUUAGUUGUUUAUCUUUGAAUAAUUGUGUAACAUGCUCAACAAUAUUCUUUCAUCAUUCAAUGAUUUUAGCUAGAAAGAUUCAUAGGAUACAAAUUUGUUUGCACAAACAACGGUUGUAUUCUAAAUAUCGGAUAUUGAAAAUUUUGAGAGACAGAUGGCUGGAGACUCUCUUCCGGAGCAUCUCUAAAGCAGCUAUUUUUCUUUUGUGACUAAGUUAGGAACUCUUUUUGUUCAAGCGAGACUAUUUGUUAUUCACAUUUUGUUUGUGGGGAUUCGAAUAUAUUAGAGGUUUCACUUCAGGUAAGUUUAUAAAAUGGUGAUUCAUAUGUAGGGUUAGCUCAAUAAGUUGUCGUUGAUGAAAGCAGGCCCUUGAUAAGUUUUGUUGUUCAGAUAGGGACUAUACAAUUGUGCAUUCGAGGCAUGGUGACUGACCCAAGUUGUUGGGUCAUGUGCAUUUGAGGCAUGGUGACUUAUCAGUGCAUGUGUACCCUAUAGAGGCCCUGAUGCAAAGCCAUCUUGAAAGAAGAAGACUUGAAGGUGACCAAGUUUAAUGCAGCGGAGGACAACAACAACAUAGUCAAAGUACAUGACAUCGGGAGCAACAGUCCCAUGCAGUUUCUGCAGAAGUUAAUUAUCCAAUUUUACAUACCUCAUCUCCACAAUUCAACGUAUAGUUCGGGUAUUUUCCUAUAUGUGUUCAUAUUUGUGUGAUUUAUAUCUAUGUGUAAUGCAAUAUAGAUUAUUGUUCUACUUGCCAGGUUGCAUGGUUUAAUACAUAAUUAUAUGUUUAGUAUCUAACGAAUUUGGGUUGAUUAUAAAUCUAUUUUGUUGAAAAACGAAUCAUAAAGAUAAAAGUACUUAUUAGACAGUUUUCAUAUGAAUGAGAUAUUUUUUCUCUUUGUACUAUAUCAACAAGUUUCCCAGCAAUCAGGUCGUCAAAACGAAGCUCGGUGUGAGAGAUGCACCCGUCAAACAAGCUAACCAUCCCAAACGGAUUGGCACAUGCAAUUCAAGCCACUUGCGCAAGAAUAUUAUCUCAGACAGUCCGAUUAAUGUACAGUGGAAUUCAAGCAUUUUGAGCGACAAUGACGAUAUGAUUGUAGACGCUUUAAUGGAGCCUGUGCAUUCAACUGUUAAACCGUUGGAUUCAACUUAUAUGCAAACGUAACUGCAUUUCUACACAAAUUUUCGGCUUUAUAGUUUCUUAUAUAUCAUUGUUUAUGCGUGUGUCUGCUGACAUGUUUAGGUCAGUUGCUA
This is a long non-coding RNA of Papaver somniferum (opium poppy), 2284 nucleotides long. RefSeq lists it as uncharacterized. The transcript is spliced from 8 exons. NCBI's taxonomy places the organism in Eukaryota, Viridiplantae, Streptophyta, Magnoliopsida, Ranunculales, Papaveraceae. The record is from RefSeq and is a predicted model, not a curated record.